UAAACAAGGUGGGCUAAAUAGGUAGGCUUCGAAAGAAACUGUUUAGUUUAAGUAGCUCGCAAAAUUUCAAAUUUCGGAGAUCGUAAAAGUGCUUGAAGAUCAUGAUCAUUCCAAUUCGUUGUUUUACGUGUGGGAAAGUAAUCGGAAACAAGUGGGAAACCUACCUUGGCUUACUUCAAGCAGAAUAUACUGAAGGAGAUGCCCUUGAUGCCUUGGGGUUGAAGAGAUACUGCUGUCGAAGAAUGCUUCUAUCACAUGUGGACUUGAUUGAAAAACUGUUAAAUUAUGCUCCCCUUGAAAAAUAAUCUGUUCUAUGGUGUUGUUUCGUUGUAAGUCUGGCUGGAAGUUGUGAUGAUCAAUGACAGCAGAAAGGGAGUUUUUCAGAAGGGCAGUCCAUUUAUCAAGAUACUGGCUCUUGCUCUAAGUAGCUCUGGAAUUCAUCAUGUAGUAUUUUGUUAAUAGUUUAAUUCUCGACUGCUGAAAUUUCUAAACUCAACCAAUCACAAAGUAGAGAACCAUGUUUGUAAUUUAUCAGCAUAGUCUGACUUUCUUAACUCUUUACAUGACAAAAACCAACUCAACAUUGUAAGAAAGAUCAAUACACUGCAAAUAAAUAGUAAAGUUGCAUUUCCUAUACAGAAAUAUUU
Molecule: long non-coding RNA, 647 nt
Organism: Orbicella faveolata
Lineage: Eukaryota; Metazoa; Cnidaria; Anthozoa; Scleractinia; Merulinidae
Source: RefSeq, a predicted model, not a curated record